AUACGUAGGGUGUGAGCGUUGUCCGGAAUUACUGGGCGUAAAGAGCUCGUCGGCAGUGUGUCGCGUCGUCUGUGAAAUUCCGGGGCUUAACUUGGGGCCUGCCGGCGAUACGGGCCUAACUUGUGUACUGUAGGGGAGACUGGAAUCCCUGGUGUCGCGGUGAACUGCGCAGGUGGCCGGAGGAACACCGGUGGCGAAGGGGGGUCUCUGGGCAGUAACGGACGCUGAGGAGCGAAAGCAUGGAUAGCGAACAGGAUUAGAUGCCCUGGUAGGCCAUGCCGUAAACGGGGGGCGCUAGGUGUAGGGUCCUUCCACGACUUCUGUGCCGUAGCUAACCCAUUAAGCGCCCCGCCUUGGGAGUACGGCCGCAAGGCCAAAACUUAAAUGAAUUGACGGGG
RNAcentral lists this ribosomal RNA (398 nucleotides) under uncultured bacterium. RNAcentral's name for it is "partial 16S ribosomal RNA". It matches the Rfam family "Bacterial small subunit ribosomal RNA", at positions 523 to 918 of the family's 1533-position model. The record is from RNAcentral.